Molecule: transfer RNA, 75 nt
Filed under: Alosa alosa (allis shad)
Lineage: Eukaryota; Metazoa; Chordata; Actinopteri; Clupeiformes; Clupeidae
Description: tRNA-OTHER
Source: RNAcentral
GCCGCCGUGGCCUACUGGUUAGCACUUCGGACUUGUAAGCGGAGGGUUGCCGGUUCGAACCCUGACCAGUAGGCA